RNAcentral lists this non-coding RNA (117 nucleotides) under Nomascus leucogenys (northern white-cheeked gibbon). Lineage: Eukaryota; Metazoa; Chordata; Mammalia; Primates; Hylobatidae. The record is from Rfam by way of RNAcentral.
GCUGGGUGCGGUGGCUCACGCCUGUAAUCCCAGCACUUUGGGAGGCUGAGGUGGGUGGAUCACCUGAGGUCAGGAGUUCAAGACCAGCCUGACCAACAUGGUGAAACCCCAUCUCUA